RNAcentral lists this unclassified non-coding RNA (2603 nucleotides) under Priapulus caudatus. RNAcentral's name for it is "methylcrotonoyl-CoA carboxylase subunit alpha, mitochondrial-like, transcript variant X2". The record is from RNAcentral. Lineage: Eukaryota; Metazoa; Priapulida; Priapulimorpha; Priapulimorphida; Priapulidae.
GACGUCAUAGAUUUGAUUAGUUUUUAUUCAGUUCUAAGAGAGGGCAGCACGAUAGAGGAAAAAUGGCAUCCUCCUUGACGUACAGAAAUUUCAUGCUUUACAGGUCACUAGAAAAGACUCUGUGUUUACUUUCGAAACGCUAUGCCAGUACAGAACCUAUCAACAAGAUACUUAUAGCCAACCGAGGAGAGAUAGCAUGUAGAGUUAUGCGCACAGCUCGCAAGAUGGGCAUACAGACAGUGGCCGUCUAUAGCGAUGCAGACCGUAAUUCAAUGCACGUAGCCAUGGCGGACGAGUCGUACAACAUCGGCCCCGCGGCGUCGCAGCUCAGCUACCUCGACCACAACAAGGUGCUGGAGGUGGCGCGGAUGUCCGGAGCGCAGGCCGUGCAUCCCGGCUACGGCUUCCUGUCCGAGAACACGGAGUUCGCCGAGCAGUGCCAGCGCGAUGGCGUCAUCUUCAUCGGGCCGCCGUCGUCGGCGAUACGCGACAUGGGAAUCAAAAGCACGUCUAAAGCCAUCAUGUCAGCUGCUGGCGUGCCGGUCAUUGAAGGGUACCACGGCGAAGACCAGACGGAUGCCAAGUUGGCAGAGGAAGCACAGAAAAUCGGCUUUCCUGUAAUGAUAAAGGCAGUACGAGGGGGUGGUGGAAAGGGAAUGAGGAUCGCGAUGUCGGAGAAGGAGUUCAAGGAGCAGCUGGAGUCUGCGAGAAGAGAAGCCCUGAAGUCGUUCAACAACCAGGAGAUGCUGCUUGAGAAAUACAUUGCCACGCCGAGGCACGUUGAGGUCCAGGUAUUCGGCGACCAGCACGGUAACUACGUGUACCUGUUCGAGCGAGACUGCAGCGUGCAGCGGCGCCACCAGAAGAUCAUUGAAGAGGCGCCUGCACCAGGGAUAUCGGAGGCGGUGCGGCGAGAACUGGGAGAGACGGCGGUGAAAGCAGCGAGGGCCGUGGACUACGUGGGAGCCGGCACGGUGGAGUUCAUCAUGGACGCCGGUCAGAAUUUCUACUUCAUGGAGAUGAACACGAGGUUGCAGGUGGAGCACCCGGUCACAGAGAUGGUCACGGGGGCUGACCUCGUGGAGUGGCAGAUCAAGGUGGCAGCAGGAGAGAAGCUUCCUAUGAUGCAGUCAGAGCUCGUGCUGCAGGGACACGCGUUUGAGGCGCGCAUCUACGCGGAAGAUCCCGACAACAACUUCAUGCCGGGGGCCGGUCCCCUGCACCAUCUGUCGACCCCGCCCGCCGAUGCAGCGACCAGGAUAGAGACUGGUGUCCGCCAAGGUGACGAGGUGUCCGUUCACUACGACCCGAUGAUCGCCAAGCUCGUCGUCUGGGCCGACGACAGACAAUCGGCGCUACGUAGACUACGCAGUUGCCUUAGCGAAUACAACAUUGUUGGGUUGAAAACCAACGUGAAGUUUCUCAGCGAUCUGUCAUGCAACGAGGCCUUCAUGGAGGGCAAGGUUCACACGGACUUCAUUCCCCAACACCACGACGAACUGUUUCGCACGCACGAGCUUCCGGAACAUGUCCUCUGCCAGGUGGCACUGGCGAUGGUGCUAGAGGAAAGACAGCAGACGCGCGUACACAGCCUGACGACGCCAGAUCCAUUUUCGCCAUUUUCGUUUGGCUGUGGAACGCGAUUGAACCACAAACAGAAGAAGACGCUGGAGCUAAACUCAGGAGAUCAAAAGUUGAGUAUCGUAGUCACCUACAACGGUCUCAAUGACUUCACCGUCACAUUUGACGGAAAAUCGCACCACGUGAAAGGACAGAUGGCGCCACUCGACAACGAGCUGACCUGUGAGGUGGACGGCACCAUCACGAAGGCGAAGGUCGUCAUGCGCGGAAACACCUACCACAUAUUCACGAAGGACGGCAGCUACGAGCUGAGCGUGCCGACGCCAAAGUUCAUCGAGGCGGCGGGAGACGGCGUCGCGCUGUCCGGCGCCGUCGCGCCGAUGCCCGGGGUCAUCGAGAAGGUCGCGGUCGCCGUCGGCGACAAGGUAGCAGCCGGCGACCCGCUCAUCAUCAUGAUCGCGAUGAAGAUGGAGUAUGUGAUCAGAGCUCACCAGGAUGGAGUCGUGGAGGCAGUACUCUACAAGGCCGGUGACAACGUCAACAAGGACGCGCAGCUUGUCAAGUUCGUAGAGGAGGAGAGCGACAAGAAGCCAGCAGCAGACGAGGACGACUAGCGCCAUCUAGUGACAUCAGAUAGAAUGAGCCGGUGGUAGACAGCGGCAGUGACUAGCACCAACAACGAGAGACAAAACCAGACAUAUUUCUGUAAUUGCCAUCUAAACAGGACCUAGCUCACUCGUACGAACGUAUAGCAUGACAAGGAAGACCUUAUGAAAACUGGAUACAGAGUAGAGGAUAAGAUAAAGUAGGUGUAAAUGGGAGAACAAUGCAUGAAUAAGUGCUGGUAUAUAUUAUGGUAGGGAACACUGUAAUUGCAAAUUUGAUAACGAUUCGUGUUAAACAUAGUUCGCAUGUGCAUAAACCAUUAAUAAAAGUAGGAUGUUUAUAUAUGUUAGCAGUGAUGCACUGAACUAUUUCAUGGUAAACAUGAUAAAUAAAUUGUUAAUAAUAACGUAAUGUUA